RNAcentral lists this ribosomal RNA (315 nucleotides) under Boophis madagascariensis (Madagascar bright-eyed frog). RNAcentral describes it as "partial 16S ribosomal RNA". It matches the Rfam family "Bacterial large subunit ribosomal RNA", at positions 2211 to 2597 of the family's 2925-position model. The record is from RNAcentral. Lineage: Eukaryota; Metazoa; Chordata; Amphibia; Anura; Mantellidae.
CCGCCCCCCUCCAAAUCCUAUUAUUUACCCGGNGAUUGUUUGUUUGGUUUUAGGUUGGGGUGACCGCGGAGUAUAAGAUAUCCUCCAUGAAAAAAAGCUAACUGCCCUUAUUAGAGAAAGACACUUCCAAAAAAUAAUAAAUUAAUUUUAAAUGAUCCGACAUUCGAUCAACGAACCAAGUUACCCUGGGGAUAACAGCGCAAUCCGUCCCGAGAGCCCCUAUCGACAGGCGGGUUUACGACCUCGAUGUUGGAUCAGGGUAUCCCAGUGGUGCAGCAGCUACUAAAGGUUCGUUUGUUCAACGAUUAAAACCCU